GACGAACGCUGGCGGCGUGCCUAACACAUGCAAGUCGAGCGGAGAGAUUGUCGUAUUUAUAUGACAUGAUCUUAGCGGCGGACGGGUGAGUAACACGUGGGUAACCUGCCUCAAAGUGGGGGAUAGCCUUUCGAAAGGAAGAUUAAUACCGCAUAAGAUUGUAGCAUCACAUGAUGCAGCAAGAAAAGGAGCAAUCCGCUUUGAGAUGGACCCGCGGCGCAUUAGCUAGUUGGUGAGGUAACGGCUCACCAAGGCCACGAUGCGUAGCCGACCUGAGAGGGUGAUCGGCACAUUGGAACUGAGAUACGGUCCAGACUCCUACGGGAGCAGCAGUGGGAAUAUGCACAAUGGCGAAAGCCUGAUGCAGCAACGCCGCGUGAGUGAUGAAGGCUUUCGAGUCGUAAAGCUCUUUGAUCA
This 417-nucleotide ribosomal RNA is filed under the name uncultured bacterium. Its description in RNAcentral is "bacterial SSU rRNA". It matches the Rfam family "Bacterial small subunit ribosomal RNA", at positions 28 to 441 of the family's 1533-position model. The record is from RNAcentral.